GAACUCGGAGAUAGCUGGUUCUCCCCGAAAUAGCUUUAGGGCUAGCCUCGAUUUAGAUUAUUGGGGGUAGAGCACUGAAUGGGCUAGGGGGCCACAAAGCUUACUGAACCCUAUCAAACUGCGAAUACCAAUUAAUUGAUGAUCGGGAGUCAGACAGUGAGAGAUAAGUUCCAUUGUCGAAAGGGAAACAGCCCAGAUCCACGACUAAGGUCCCAAAAUACACGUUAAGUGGAAAAGGAUGUGCAGUUGCACAGACAACCAGGAUGUUGGCUUAGAAGCAGCCACUCAUUCAAAGAGUGCGUAAUAGCUCACUGGUCGAGUGAAUGUGCGCCGAAAAUAUACCGGGGCUAAACGUGAUACCGAAGUCUGGGGAUCAAGAAAUUGAUCGGUAGGGGAGCAACGCAUACGGACAGAAGCAGAAGCGGGAGCGACUGUGGACUGUAUGGGAGAGAGAAUGCCGGCAUGAGUAGCGAGAGCAAAGUGAGAAUCUUUGCCGUCGAAAGCCUAAGGUUUCCUGAGGAAGGCUCGUCCUCUCAGGGUAAGUCGGGACCUAAGCCGAGGACAAGAGUCGUAGGCGAUGGACAACAGGUUGAUAUUCCUGUACCGUACUUAAGCGUUUGACUGAAGCAGUGACACAGAAGGAUAGACAGACCGGGGGAAUGGUAGACUCCGGCCAAGCAGUGAGGCUGACAUGUAGUGAAGUACGCAUGUUAAGGCUGGGCUGUGAUGGGGACUGAAGAUUAGUAAGGAAGCUGUUGAAUUCACACUGGCGAGAAAAGCUGCUAAGGAGCGAGAGUAUGCCCGUACCGCAAACCGACACAGGUAGGCGAGGAGAGAAUCCUAAGACGAGCGGGAGAACCCUUGUUAAGGAACUCGGCAAAAUGACUCCGUAACUUAGGGAGAAGGAGUGCCUCGAGAGAGGCCGCAGAGAAUAGGCCCAAGCGACUGUUUACCAAAAACACAGGUCUGUGCGAAGUAGAGAUACGACGUAUACGGGCUGACGCCUGCCCAGUGCCGGAAGGUUAAGGGGAAGUGUUAGGGCAACCGAAGCACGGAACUUAAGCCCCGGUGAACGGCGGCCGUAACUAUAACGGUCCUAAGGUAGCGAAAUUCCUUGUCGGGUAAGUUCCGACCCGCACGAAUGGCGUAACGACUUGGGCACUGUCUCAACAAGGGACCCGGCGAAAUUGUAGUAUGUGUGAAGAUGCACAUUACCCGCGAUAGGACGGAAAGACCCCGUAGAGCUUUACUGUAGUUUAACAUUGGAUUUUGAUAACACAUGUACAGGAUAGGUGGGAGGCUGAGAAACCGGCACGCCAGUGCCGAUGGAGCCGCUGUUGGGAUACCACUCUUGUGUUAUUGGAGUUCUAACGAAGUGCCGUAAACCGGGCUUCGGACAGUGUUAGAUGGGCAGUUUGACUGGGGCGGUCGCCUCCGAAAGAGUAACGGAGGCGUCCAAAGGUUCCCUCAGAAUGGUUGGAAACCAUUCGCAGAGUGCAAAGGCAGAAGGGAGCUUGACUGCGAGACCGACAGGUCGAGCAGGUACGAAAGUAGGGCUUAGUGAUCCGGCGGUAUGAGAGUGGAAUUGCCGUCGCUCAACGGAUAAAAGCUACCUCGGGGAUAACAGGCUGAUCUCCCCCAAGAGUUCACAUCGACGGGGAGGUUUGGCACCUCGAUGUCGGCUCGUCGCAUCCUGGGGCUGGAG
This 1705-nucleotide ribosomal RNA is filed under the name human gut metagenome. RNAcentral's name for it is "bacterial LSU rRNA". It matches the Rfam family "Bacterial large subunit ribosomal RNA", at positions 835 to 2558 of the family's 2925-position model. The record is from RNAcentral.